AAAGUCAAAUAGUACGUGAAAUUGUUGAAAGGGAAACGAUUAAAGUCAGUCGUACCGGCGGUAAUCAGCCACUUGGGUGCGAUUAUGUCGGGUGUUGAGGAGCUUAACCGCCUUCGCGCUUGCGUAUUUGUGUCUUAAUGGUGUAUUUAUUCGCAUGGUAGGUUAACAUCAAUUUCGGUCAUCAUAAAAUGAUGGGAGGAAUGUAGCUUCGAUCCUGUAUUGAAGUGUUAUAGCCUCUAGUAGAUGCGAUGACUGGGAUUGAGGAUUGCAACGAACCCUUUGGGCUACUUGUCUGGCCUCUGGUGGUCGCUUUGGUGCUGAAAGCGUGCUUAUGGUUAUCAAAGUUUGGUUGCCAAAAGGUUAGAACGGGUUAAUUUCGUUAAGGAUGUUGACGUAAUGGCUUUAAACGA
This 410-nucleotide unclassified non-coding RNA is filed under the name uncultured Glomeromycotina. RNAcentral describes it as "sequence contains 28S rRNA gene". Lineage: Eukaryota; Fungi; Glomeromycota. The record is from RNAcentral.